AACGAACGCUGGCGGCAGGCUUAACACAUGCAAGUCGAGCGAGACCUUCGGGUCUAGCGGCGGACGGGUGAGUAACGCGUGGGAACGUGCCCUUCUCUACGGAAUAGCCCCGGGAAACUGGGAGUAAUACCGUAUACGCCCUUUGGGGGAAAGAUUUAUCGGAGAAGGAUCGGCCCGCGUUAGAUUAGGUAGUUGGUGGGGUAAUGGCCCACCAAGCCGACGAUCCAUAGCUGGUUUGAGAGGAUGAUCAGCCACACUGGGACUGAGACACGGCCCAGACUCCUACGGGAGGCAGCAGUGGGGAAUCUUAGACAAUGGGGGCAACCCUGAUCUAGCCAUGCCGCGUGAGUGAUGAAGGCCUUAGGGUUGUAAAGCUCUUUCAGCUGGGAAGAUAAUGACGGUACCAGCAGAAGAAGCCCCGGCUAACUCCGUG
This 433-nucleotide ribosomal RNA is filed under the name uncultured bacterium. RNAcentral describes it as "partial 16S ribosomal RNA". It matches the Rfam family "Bacterial small subunit ribosomal RNA", at positions 29 to 507 of the family's 1533-position model. The record is from RNAcentral.